This 582-nucleotide long non-coding RNA is filed under the name Medicago truncatula (barrel medic). Its description in RNAcentral is "long non-coding RNA (MTRU_LNC005712)". Lineage: Eukaryota; Viridiplantae; Streptophyta; Magnoliopsida; Fabales; Fabaceae. The record is from RNAcentral.
UAUUUGCAGAAGCUGUUUUUGUGUUUUAAAGGUGUUAUAACUUUGUUUGACAUAUUUCUAUUUUAUUCCUAGCUUCCGUGCGAUGACUCUUUGCAAAACAGAAAAACAUUUCAUGGUGCAGUGAGUUUUGCAGCCUCACUUUCCCACUUUGGCUGAAUCUAUGGCUUUGAGGUGGUGGCUUCAAUUGCCUUUAGGUACUGAUUUGGACUCACGAUUAUUGAAUCUGACUCUGAUUCUUUUGUUAAAUUCCUAUAUGGUAAAUUAAGUAUUGUAUCUAUUGAAUAAAUUAUUUUGAAAGAUGUAAAAGCUAUGUAGUUUAUGCAUUAGUCAAAGUUGCUUGAAACUAUGGUUCUACAUUUUGGUUGCUCAAUUGAUCACCAAGAUAAGAAUUGAUAUUCAUGUAUCAUUUUUUUGAUGUUUAUCUCCACAUAUUUGCAUAGGUGUCCAAUUUUCUUGAGAUAAUGCUCUUUUAUGGAUGUCUUAAACUAUUUUUAACACAUCAAUUCCACUAUCCCUCCUAUUUUCAUGCUCUCUCUCUUUUUGUUUAUGAACAGUUUUAGUGGUAAUGUGGUUUUCAAGCCC